CUUCGAUCAUCAAACAGCCACGUAGCGGUUCAAUGAGAUCCCCGGACGGAUAUAGCAUACAAAUGACUGAACCAACAAGGAGAUCGGAGGAAGGAUUGACCAAAAUCGAAGAAAGCUUGCUUCGGGAGCUCGGGUUGUAAUCCAAUCGAAAACACAUUCAGACUCUGCAGUUGUCAGCUGUUCUUCUUGAGGUUCUUUACCACAUUCUCUGGCUCAUAUUUUAUUGGACAAUGGAAGUGUAAAUCUGAAAGAAGAGGAAGAAAAACAGAGUUACUGUUCUGUUCUGAACGCUUGUUGAGUAAUUUUUUGUGAUCUUGAUUUUUCAAUAUUCAACUAAAAUGGUAGGUAUUAUGCA
Tarenaya hassleriana is the source of this 355-nucleotide long non-coding RNA. RefSeq lists it as uncharacterized. The transcript has 2 exons. The record is from RefSeq and is a predicted model, not a curated record. NCBI's taxonomy places the organism in Eukaryota, Viridiplantae, Streptophyta, Magnoliopsida, Brassicales, Cleomaceae.